UGGAGCUAAAUGGGGGAUUUAAUGCGAAACUGUGAUUCAGCAAUUGAGAAAGGCUGGGAAAUUUAAUUUUUAUGCAUUCGAUUGUGGGCUGUAUGACUUUCUGAAGCUUUGGUUCAACCCAUUCGAUUUAUUUAGUAAUUAGACUCCGACGGAAAAAAUACUACCGUUUAUUUAAAGUAAAGCCAAUUAGUUUAGUUUGUCAAUGUCAUGGAGCCGUUGUCUAAUAGGAUUUGAUUUUGCGGUUGAAAGUAUAAUUUUGAUUAAUCUCGAAAAAACGUGUUUAUACAUAUAUUUAAAUUUGCAUCUAAUGCUCCCACGAUAAAUGCUUAUCGAUUGAUCAAAAAAUUGGCACUGAAGCUUUUUUUACAACCGAAGAAAAGGAUUUUUUAUACCCGUUACUCAUACAAGAUCGACUCUGCUAGUCAUCCUUCUUAAUACUUUUAUGUUACAUACUUUUUAAAGAACACUAUAUUCUGUAUAUCAUUUUUACUAUACUAUACUCUACGAGUAGUCUCUUUUUAAAAGUAAAACUGAUACCGCGCAAUAAAUGUUUAAAAUGCGUAUUUGUGUCAGGAAUUUUAAAAUUUAAUAGAAUAGCUAAAAAAGAUUUGAUUGCUUUCCUAUCCUAUCCAAUAUAUCAAAUUAUAUAAGCCAGUUAAAUUGAAUGGCACUUGUGUUUAUUAUGCCAGAAGUUCAAAUGCAGUUUGAGUUGUUAGAAAAAUCUUUUCUUCUACUGAGAAGACUAUGAAAAUCCCAAAUCCUUUUUCAAUUGCUAUCAAAAACGGGUUGUUGUUUGUGAUUUUUUGUUUUGAUUCGAGUGGCUGCAAUUUACAGGUUAUUGUUUUGGUUCUUUCGUGGCAACACUUUUGCUUUUUCACUUGCACUUUUGCCGUUUGUGUGGCUGGUGUUGUUGCUCGUGGGCUCUGGUUUAUCAAUGGGCGAUGUUUGCGAUGACGACGCAUGCAACAGAGGAAAUCAAAAUCGGCACGGAACCAAAAGCGCUAACGCAAGAACGGCACGCAAAUCAUUUUGCGGCACGAUCGACGUCGACGUCGGCAGAUCCGCCGGCAGCGCAGCCGGCAGAGCAACCGGAGGCGAGUUGUCAAAGUGACAUUUUUCAGGCACGCACACACACACGCACGCGUGGGUGUGUUGGAAUAGUAAAAAAGAGAGAAGUGAAUGACCGCCGGCGGUUUGCAAUUCGCACACGUGACUCCACGAAGCCUUUGCAGGACAUCCAGUUACAGGAUGACACUCACGCACACACACACACGCACGCACCUUUUAGCGGGAUUCUGGCGACGGCGGAACAACCGUUAGGAGGGAGCAGCGACUGCACGCGAGCGCCAGAAACGAGUGAAUGAGCGAAUGAACAACAGUGCCAAAAAAACGGACUGGGACAGACGGAACACAGGCAUUUGAAACGAGGCACAAAGGCGAUGGAGCGCGCUCUCUCACUCGCACUCAGCGGGGAGACGGGGGAGCUCAAAGUCGCUAUCUCUCACUCGCUCUCUUUCAAACGUGACUCUACUGCGCUGCGGCCACGUAAACGCUUUGAGAUUCCAACAAGAACUGAGCUGGCGCCACGAAACGAAUGGAAAAACCAGUCCUGGCGGAACGCACUGGCAAUGGAACACGCGGACGGCGUGUUUGGGCCACUUCCAGUCGUCCUGGCAACGAUCGAUCGCCAAGCGACGCGGUCGCGUGGGAGUGAGACAGAGCGAACGUUGUUCCACUGCCAACCGUUCCGACGUCGCCAUACGUGCGACUGGAAGGGAGCGACCAACCAAGGCAGUCUUGGAAGUGCUGUCGCUAUCUCAUUCGCACCCUCUAAUUGCGCUCAAGCCGCUGAGAGGGCGUGUUCGCACACACAUACUUACACUCACAGCCCAGUAGCGCCGACUCUUUCCAGCGCACUGCCAACUGGAAAUUCGGGGCACAUCGCUCAUCUCUUAAUUAAUUAGGCGGUAAUUAAGAGCUAUCAGUGCUAUCGCUCAAUGGCAUCUAUUCGCCUCACUCUUCUUCUAUUUCGAACUUAUCUGGGCCGGAUUUUACUUCGUUUUGCCACUGAAAUGCAAAUUUUAUUUGGUGUGACCAAAGCCAUUAAGGCCAUAAACAUGAGCACUCACUUCGCGCUUAUCGCGGAUGAUUUAUUCACAUGUGCCACCUGACAACCGCAAAAGAGCAAGGAGAACGAAAUGCAUACCGCUGCCCAGAACAGAACCAGAAAUCAUAUUCGCACACCUAGACAGGCCAAAUGUCCGUGUCCAAGAACCCGAUUGGCAGUGUACAAAGCCCCUUUAUCCCACGGCCCAUAUGCUGCGUCCGCCUUUAACCGCAUGUCACAGAUGGUGAUGCCUGCUCGCACUCCUCAAAGGCACAGUUUGCGCUCUUAAAUAACUUUUUAAACACUUAUUUCACACAUUUUGACAAUCUCUGUAUACAAACUCUAGAAUAUAUUUUGAUUGAAAUGAGUACAGUAAGCCACUGAAAUGAAUAUAAUAAA
This is a long non-coding RNA of Drosophila yakuba, 2506 nucleotides long. RefSeq lists it as uncharacterized. The transcript has 2 exons. The record is from RefSeq and is a predicted model, not a curated record. NCBI's taxonomy places the organism in Eukaryota, Metazoa, Arthropoda, Insecta, Diptera, Drosophilidae.